AUCCAGCAGGAGCAUAGGACACAGGAGGAGUCUCACACACUUGUGGUUUUCUUGAGACCUGGAACCUGUCAGCGGUCAUCUGAUAGAUAGCUGGUGGCUGGAUAUGCUGGGGCAGUGCGAUCCAGUCAUGGGGGAGACCAAAGCUCACCUGCUUUCUUCAGUCGUCGAUCUAGAAACCUUUAUAACCAACAAAGUGGGUAGCGCAUAAUGUGGAUCAGGAUAUAGUAUGGGUCCCUCUGAGCUGGAUGCAAUUCUUUCAAAGCUGUGAGGAGUCUUGGCAGGUGCUACAGAGGGUGAGCUCUGGACACUAAUCCCCAGUGUACAGCUCCAGCUUCCAGUGAUGAAACUCCGGUUGCCAGGCAACCUCGUUCCUUUCCUGGUGCGGUGAUAAAACGCCAUGACCAAGACAACUUAUGAAAGGGUUUUUGGGAGUGAAGGCUCUGCAGGGACAAGAGUCGCUCCCAUCCCAGUGGGAAAGUGUGGCGGGAACAGCUAAGUGCUCACACCUUUAACUGCAAGCAGGAAACAGAGUGAAUGGAACUAGUCAUUUGGAACCUCAAAACCCGUCCCCAUUAGCACACUCUCUCUGGCAAGGCCUUAUCUGUUAAGCCUCCUCCAAACGGCCACCAACUGAGAACUAAGCAUUCAAGUGCCUGGACUAUGGGGGGCAUCUCACUGGCUGGCCACUGCCACUCUUGUCACUGACCUGGGUCCCUCUUGGCCUUUUCCACAAUAAAUUUGUUCUCACUGA
Long non-coding RNA from Mastomys coucha (southern multimammate mouse), 751 nucleotides. RefSeq lists it as uncharacterized. Lineage: Eukaryota; Metazoa; Chordata; Mammalia; Rodentia; Muridae. The transcript has 5 exons. The record is from RefSeq and is a predicted model, not a curated record.